UACGAAGGGUGCAAACGUUGCUCGGAAUUAUUGGGCGUAAAGCGCACGUAGGCGGCUUUGUAAGUCGGAUGUGAAAUCCCUCGGCUUAACCAAGGAAGUGCAUCCGAAACUACAGAGCUUGAGUACUUAAGAGGAUCGCGGAAUUCCCGGUGUAGAGGUGAAAUUCGUAGAUAUCGGGAGGAACACCAGUGGCGAAGGCGGCGUCUGGGAAGAUACUGACGCUGAGGUGCGAAAGCGUGGGGGAGCAAACAGG
This 253-nucleotide ribosomal RNA is filed under the name uncultured bacterium. RNAcentral describes it as "partial 16S ribosomal RNA". It matches the Rfam family "Bacterial small subunit ribosomal RNA", at positions 524 to 776 of the family's 1533-position model. The record is from RNAcentral.